GAUGAACGCUGGCGGCGUGCCUAAUACAUGCAAGUCGAGCGAACAGGCGAGGAGCUUGCUCCUCUGACGUUAGCGGCGGACGGGUGAGUAACACGUGGAUAACCUACCUAUAAGACUGGGAUAACUUCGGGAAACCGGAGCUAAUACGGGAUAACAUGCUGAACCGCAUGGUUCAACAGUGAAAGACGGUUUUGCUGUCACUUAUAGAUGGAUCCGCGUCGCAUUAGCUAGUUGGUAAGGUAACGGCUUACCAAGGCAAAGAUGCGUAGCCGAGCUGAGCGGGUGAUCGACCACCCUGGAACUGAGACACGGUCCAUACGCCUACGGUAGGCAGCAGUCGCGAAUCGUCCGCAAAGGGCGAAAGCCUGACGCAGCAGCGCCGCGUGAGUGAAGAAGGUCUUCGGAUCGUAAAACUCUGUUAUUAGGGAAGAACCAAUGUGUAAGUAACUAUGCACGUCUUGACGGUACCUAAUCAGAAAGCCCCGGCUAACUACGUG
RNAcentral lists this ribosomal RNA (497 nucleotides) under uncultured bacterium. Its description in RNAcentral is "partial 16S ribosomal RNA". It matches the Rfam family "Bacterial small subunit ribosomal RNA", at positions 28 to 507 of the family's 1533-position model. The record is from RNAcentral.